Molecule: long non-coding RNA, 957 nt
Organism: Gastrolobium bilobum
Lineage: Eukaryota; Viridiplantae; Streptophyta; Magnoliopsida; Fabales; Fabaceae
Exons: 3
Source: RefSeq, a predicted model, not a curated record
AAUUGAGAACUAGCAAAUCUGAUUUCUUUUGUUUCACUCUUUGUUGCACUUGGUUCAGAAUAUGAACCAAUGGUAUUACCCCUUCCAUUUACUUCCAAAGCCGUAAGCUAUAGAAAAGAACGCAUGACAGACCACAAAAUUUAUACACUACAUCCAUCUCCUUCUCUCCCUACAAAUCGUGAAAUCCCCAAGAGGCAAAACAUCAAGGAACGUGUAUCUCUUCCUCUAUACAAACCGUAAACUGUUUAGAGGACCACCCACCCAUUUAACACACAUUUCUUCUCCUUUCAUGGUUCGGCUGUAAAUUUUCAAGAAAAGGGGCAUGGUGAAAUUUUCCUUCUUCACGCUUCUGCUUAUCUAUGCAAACUGGUGGAGACCCCUCUUGCAUGCGGAAUUCAAUGGCUGCUCAUUCUUUCUUCUCUUUUGCUCUGUCGUGAAGUAACCACCACGGAAGGGAGGGUAUUUCUUUAUCUUCUUGCUCUCUUAUACAGAAAUCGAUUCUGACUGGGGCUCUCCCCCUUGCAGGCAGCCUAAAAACCGUACAUUGAAGAGUGGAAUGGGAGGGGAUUGGAGCAUCUUUGGGCCACGGUUUCCUCCAGCCGAAUUGUACACAUUGGGUGUCCCUCCAAUAGAAGUGCACGUAACUCUUGUUAAGUGAGCUGAAUUUUGGUGCUGUUGAUUAUUGCUUGGACCCAAGGAGGACUUAGAAGCAUGUGAAGAAGUAUUUGAUGACGUGAUUUCAUGGAAAUGAAUUGAUUGAGUUUUACUGUUUGGGAUAUCCUAUUGUUUAAUUGAUGUUUCUGUUGGAAGUAUAAUGUAUAUUCAGCUUUGAUGUAGCCUUUUAAGGAUGGCAGUUUAUUAUGUGCAUUCUGUCUUGAAAUGAUUUGUGACAUGAUAUUUUCAUAACGUCGGAAUUUAGGUGAUUCUAAAAAUUAAAGUGUCAAACCGAUUUCUGUU